CAGAUCUAUAACCUGAAACGUGACCCCAUAGUCAGUUUGGAAAUCAGCAAGCAGCGCAAGAUCAUAAAACGUGAAACAGGAGGGCAACUCAAUUUAUUGGGCUCUGAAGAACCAUGCAGACUUGAUCAGCCAUUGCUUGGUAACCUCUGCCAAACCACUUGCUUCAUAUUGCCUGGGAUAAUCCUUCGGGGUUCAGAGCACCCGCCUUAUGUCGAACUGCUUGAUCAGCUUAUUGGCAAAGAUUUCACAGUGACUGGAGUACGCCUCACUGUCCUGGACGCACCACAAGCCCACCGCAUCUCUGAGACACUAAGCAGGGCAAAGUGCAGUGUUUCAGCAAAGCAUUCCCUCUUAAUGGAUGGUUUCUGUCUGGUGCUCGCAGCACAGCGAGACAAUGCGAUCAUUUGCUUUGACUCCCUGCUGGACAGUGCCUGUUGGCAGAAGCAGUCAGUCCUGGACACUGUGCAGCAUCUCCUUUAUCCCCAAAAUGAGAAUCAGGCUGAAGAGCUGCUCUGUUGCCUUUUCGACUCCCUGACAUCUGAGAGCAUACACCGAAUUGAAUCCCACGAUCCCUAGCCAAGAUGGCCAAGCCCCCUAAGCGGCCCAUGAGUGGAUGCCACCGUGGGUAUCUGUGCAGAGGGACACACAGGGGACUCCCAGCCUCUAAAAGCACUAAUAUUUGUCAUUAAAAUUUAAAGUCUGAUGUAUGGUAUUAGCAUCAGUAACAUAAAUGAGAAUGGUGGGAGGAAGGAUCAGUGCCCAAGAACAAAUCUCUGAACUGUAGCCAUGGUUUCUAGUGGAAUACAUUCAGAGACAAGCUGCUUGUGUUUGUGGAGCAAGGUUUGAACAUCAUUUUGCAGAGGCAUCAAGGUUUCUCUGGCUAGGAGAAACUCUGGAAGUAAAGCAAAUGCAGGGGCAGGUGUUCGCUGCUGUCUUUCUCCCAGGUGCUUGGGGACCCCACCUUUGCCAGGCCUCAAAGACAUUAUGGAGAGACUCCAUUUUCUGCUGCUACUGUGUUCUUUGAACCAGAGACAAAAUCACAGUAAAUAAAAUGGAAGUAGUCUGAAGGAAGGUUGGAUCC
This 1081-nucleotide long non-coding RNA is filed under the name Athene cunicularia (burrowing owl). RNAcentral describes it as "lncRNA (ENSACUG00000001264.1)". The record is from RNAcentral. Lineage: Eukaryota; Metazoa; Chordata; Aves; Strigiformes; Strigidae.